RNAcentral lists this unclassified non-coding RNA (405 nucleotides) under soil metagenome. Its description in RNAcentral is "partial contains 5.8S ribosomal RNA, internal transcribed spacer 2, and large subunit ribosomal RNA". The stretch from base 1 to 122 matches the Rfam family "5.8S ribosomal RNA", at positions 35 to 154 of the family's 154-position model. The record is from RNAcentral.
GAUGAAGAACGCAGCAAAAUGCGAUACUUGGUGUGAAUUGCAGAAUCCCGUGAACCAUCGAGUUUUUGAACGCAAGUUGCGCCCGAAGCCUUUUGGCCGAGGGCACGUCUGCCUGGGCGUCACGCAUCGCGUCGCCCCCCCACAAUUCUCCGUAAAGGGAACUUGUGUUUUGGGGGCGGAUAUUGGUCUCCCGUGCUCAUGGCGUGGUUGGCCGAAAUAGGAGUCCUUUCGAUGGACGCACGAACUAGUGGUGGUCGUAAAAACCCUCGUCUUUUGUUUCGUGCUGUUGCUCGCAAGGUAAACUCUUUAAAAACCCCAAUGUGUCGUCUCUUGACGACGCUUCGACCGCGACCCCAGGUCAGGCGGGACUACCCGCUGAGUUUAAGCAUAUCAAUAAGCGGAGGA